AGCAAUAUUAGCCAACCAAAACCAUAUUUGUCAGUUUUCUGCAGAAAAUUCAUAAGGUGAACUAACAAGUGGACCAAUAUGAUUCAGAGUUUUUCUUAUCUAAACAUGGUGUCCUAUCGCCUACCAUAAGACGAAGCCAAGUCAGGCUGCAGCUACCUGUAUAAAUUGCUAGAACCAGACCUCGUUUCUCAUCCAGACUCGUAACAAAAAUUU
Molecule: unclassified non-coding RNA, 213 nt
Filed under: Hevea brasiliensis (rubber tree)
Lineage: Eukaryota; Viridiplantae; Streptophyta; Magnoliopsida; Malpighiales; Euphorbiaceae
Source: RNAcentral